ACUAAGUUUCAACAACGGAUCUCUUGGCUCUCGCAUCGAUGAAGAACGCAGCGAAAUGCGAUAAGUAAUGUGAAUUGCAGAAUUCAGUGAAUCAUCGAAUCUUUGGACGCACCUUGCGCUCCUUGGUAUUCCUUGGAGCAUGCCUGUUUGAGUAUCAUGAAAU
This 163-nucleotide ribosomal RNA is filed under the name Ceratobasidium sp. AG-A. Its description in RNAcentral is "5.8S ribosomal RNA". It matches the Rfam family "5.8S ribosomal RNA". Rfam says of the family: 5.8S ribosomal RNA (5.8S rRNA) is a component of the large subunit of the eukaryotic ribosome. It is transcribed by RNA polymerase I as part of the 45S precursor that also contains 18S and 28S rRNA. Functionally, it is thought that 5.8S rRNA may be involved in ribosome translocation. Lineage: Eukaryota; Fungi; Basidiomycota; Agaricomycetes; Cantharellales; Ceratobasidiaceae. The record is from RNAcentral.